This 468-nucleotide ribosomal RNA is filed under the name uncultured bacterium. RNAcentral describes it as "partial 16S ribosomal RNA". It matches the Rfam family "Bacterial small subunit ribosomal RNA", at positions 28 to 507 of the family's 1533-position model. The record is from RNAcentral.
GACGAACGCUGGCGGCGUGCUUAACACAUGCCAGUCGAACGGAAAGGCCCUGCUUUUGUUGGGUGCUCGAGUGGCGAACGGGUGAGUAACACGUGAGUAACCUGCCCUUGACUUUGGGAUAACUUCAGGAAACUGGGGCUAAUACCGGAUAGGAGCUCCUGCUGCAUGGUGGGGGUUGGAAAGCUUCGGCGGUUGUGGAUGGACUCGCGGCUUAUCAGCUUGUUGGUGGGGGAGUGGCUUACCAAGGCUUUGGCGGGUAGCCGGCCUGAGAGGGUGAACGGCCACAUUGGGACUGGGAUACGGCCCAGACUCCUACGGGAGGCAGCAGUGGGGAAUAUUGCACCAUGGGCGGAAGCCUGAUGCAGCAACGCCGCGUGCGGGAUAACGGCCUUCGGGUUGUAAACCGCUUUCGCCUGUGACGAAGCGUGAGUGACGGUAAUGGGUAAAGAAGCACCGGCUAACUACGUG